Non-coding RNA from Phthorimaea operculella (potato tuberworm), 72 nucleotides. Lineage: Eukaryota; Metazoa; Arthropoda; Insecta; Lepidoptera; Gelechiidae. The record is from the annotation of a GenBank genome assembly.
GCAUCAAUAGAUCAGUGGCAGAUUGGUGGGGCGUUGACCCAUGCGGCUCAGGUUCGAGCCCCGGUCGAUGCA